GACAGAAGAAGCACCGGGCUUACUCGUGGCCAGCAGCCGCGGUAAUACGGAGGGUGCAAGCGUUNAUNGGAAUUACUGGGCCGUAAAGCGCACGCAGGCGGUCCAUUAAGUUAGAUGUGAAAUCCCCGGGCUUAACCCGGGAACGGCAUCUAAGACUGGUGGGCUAGAGUCUCGUAGAGGGGGGUAGAAUUCCACGUGUAGCGGUGAAAUGCGUAGAGAUGUGGAGGAAUACCGGUGGCGAAGGCGGCCCCCUGGACGAAGACUGACGCUCAGGUGCGAAAGCGUGGGGAGCAAACAGGAUUAGAUACCCUGGUAGUCCACGCCGUAAACGAUGUCGAUUUGGAGGUUGUGCCCUUGAGGUGUGGCUUCCGGAGCUAACGCGUUAAAUCGACCGCCUGGGGAGUACGGUCGCAAGAUUAAAACUCAAAUGAAUUGACGGGGGCCCGCACAAGCGGUGGAGCAUGUGGUUUAAUUCGAUGCAACGCGAAGAACCUUACCUACUCUUGACAUCCACGGAAUUCUGCAGAGAUGCGGAAGUGCCUUCGGGAACCGUGAGACAGGUGCUGCAUGGCUGUCGUCAGCUCGUGUUGUGAAAUGUUGGGUUAAGUCCCGCAACGAGCGCAACCCUUAUCCUUUGUUGCCAGCACGUUAUGGUGGGAACUCAAGGGAGACUGCCGGUGAUAAACCGGAGGAAGGUGGGGAUGACGUCAAGUCAUCAUGGCCCUGACGAGUAGGGCUACACACGUGCUACAAUGGCGGAUACAAAGAGAAGCGACCUCGCGAGAGCAAGCGGAACUCAUAAAGUCUGUCGUAGUCCGGAUUGGAGUCUGCAACUCGACUCCAUGAAGUCGGAAUCGCUAGUAAUCGUAGAUCAGCAUGCUACGGUGAAUACGUUCCCGGGCCUUGUACACACCGCCCGUCACACCAUGGGAGUGGGUGGCAAAAGAAGUCGGUAGCUUAACCUUCGGGAGGGCGCUGACCACCUUNNNAUUUCNANNGG
Molecule: ribosomal RNA, 1000 nt
Filed under: Xenorhabdus sp. SGchamp
Lineage: Bacteria; Pseudomonadati; Pseudomonadota; Gammaproteobacteria; Enterobacterales; Morganellaceae
Description: bacterial SSU rRNA
Rfam family: Bacterial small subunit ribosomal RNA
Source: RNAcentral